Molecule: long non-coding RNA, 5570 nt
Filed under: Brassica napus (rape)
Lineage: Eukaryota; Viridiplantae; Streptophyta; Magnoliopsida; Brassicales; Brassicaceae
Description: long non-coding RNA (BNAP_LNC015901)
Source: RNAcentral
CGGCACCAGAGGGCGCCCGAGGGACCCUCCUCCCAUUUUCUCUUUUUUUUCCCUCUUUGCUCGUUGUGGUCCCUUGCACUAUCUCUGCCUUGUUUGAGGUGCUGUUCUUGGUGGCUCCCUGGAUUCGUCUCCGCUGCAGAGAAGAUCCGGGUCCAGCGGCGGUCAGCUAGAUGUUGGAGCCUUAGCGCGUUACGAGUCUGAGUUUCCAUUGGCAAAGUCGGCUUUUGGGGAUAUACAAAAGGUCACUUGAGCCUUCUGGAGGGGUAGUUGCGCGGGAGGCACUUGGUUCUCUCUCCUUUCUGUCGCGGUUCGAAGGCUUCUCUGAUUCAGCCAUGGCGGUGGGUGAGUGGUGUGUUGAAACAGAUCUGUCUCUCAUCCUUGGUGUAUCGGAUUAGCAUUCUCUGUCUUUCUUUCACCGCCGUGUUUGCUCUGGAGAAUCUUUCUACCUCAGAGGCGUGUUGUAAACCUGGCUUCCGGCGUAUGUUGGAGCCUGCCGUGGUAGCACGUGGAGUGUGACAUAGUCACGGUGUCGGAGAUGGUCGUCGUCUAUGCCUCUCUGAGGCGGUCAUGUGGCCUCCCUUUCAUCAACCUCUCCCUUCCCGGCUUUUUGUCAGAGUGUUUCCGGCAAUACUUGGCAUCGUUCUCUCUCGGGUUCAUCGCUUUUGUUUCUUUGGUACUGUUGGUAUUGUGCCACCGGUGCCUCUAUUCAACAGCAAGACUAACUUCACUUCGGUUCUCGAAGGAAGCGGUUGGCGAGGAGUUAGGAAGCUUUCGGUGGUCUUGGGACCCUUCCUCCCUUGGUGGCUCAGUCGACAAGUGGCACAUCCCAGUGCUGUGACUUCGUUCAUGGUAGUGUUGCUUGGCUUUGUUUGCAGGUUUGGAGCGUUUUUUUUUGUUUAGUAGCGACCAUUCCAUUCCCGUCUCUUGCUUCUCCGUUCUAGACCAGAGAUCUUCUGCGGUCCCUUCAUUCUAGACGGUUUAGAUUUGGGUGUUGUAUGUGACUGCAUAAGCGGGUUUAGGUCGAUUUUCAAAGGUUUGUAUCUGAUCUCACUCAAAUUACCCUAAUGAGUGAAUUACUCUCUCAGAUAAAAGGUUCAGUCGUAGUACUUAGGGAUCAAAUUCAAAUGGAGCUAGGGAACUUAAUAAAUCUAAUCAGAUUGAUAAGCUAGGUUGAAUAUGUUUAAAUUUAAAUAGCAGGUUUGUGAGCAAGGCAGUUACUCGAUUGAUUUGAUUGGGGUUUUGGUACUUAGAUGAAAGUAGCUAGACUUAGGGUUUUUAUUCAGGUAAUCAGGAUUAUAAUCCUACAGAUGCCUAACAAAUUGUAUGCAUGAUAUUAUAGAGCUCAACACUUAUAAACAAACUGAUAGGCUCUCGCUUUCUAGGUUUGUCUAUUGACCUGAUAUAAGUGUCGAUUCUAUAGGAAUAUCGAUCGAUACACUUGUUGAACCGUCGACCGAUUAUUCGAUUGAAAUAUCGAUCGACGCGUUUGGUCAAGCUUUACCGUGCGGGUUAAAUGUGCUCACUAAGCUUCCUAGAUCAGCUCUCGCCUUACUCUAGCAAUCUUAUCUCAAUUAGGAUGAAUUCAGGGUGAGAUGCAAGUGAUGACCUUUACCUCAAACUCCUAGAUCAAGUUCUAGCUAGCUAAACUACAAACAUGCUUUAAUGACAAUCCUAAUGAUGAAUAUCACAACUUAGCGAUCUAUAGUUGGGGCUAAUCCCUCAUAACCUAUUUAAGCCCUAAACCUAAUAAAAGAACUACUCAGACAUGGCUAAGCAAUUCAUAACAACAAUUAGGUAUAAAACCUGCAUAGAUAAAUAGAUAGAUAUCCAUAGAGUUCCAAUCGUAAAUCUCUUUGGAUCUUCUCUCCAAUCUACUAAAAAUCCUAGAAAACCUUUUGAUGUGAAAAUAGUAAAACAAGAAAGCACACUUUGCCUCUAACAUGUUGGCAAACUUAUACAAUUCGGUUAAAACUCGUCAGGGGUAAUCUUAUAAAUUGGUGAAGAUUUGGGCUCUAAGUCGGCGGAAACCAAACAUGCUUUCUGCGCGCUUUGCCGUCGACCGAUGUCACAGGAUGUGCAUCGAUGGAUUAUUAUCUCUGAAUGUGGACCGAUGGUCUUGCUCGAUGGUCAGCUCGGAUGCUUUCUCCAAAUAUCUCCAAAAUGCUCCAAAAUCAUCACUUUCUUCCAAAUCACUUCUGAUCCUAUAAAUAUACUAAAUAUACUCUAUAAUAUAAUAAAUAGUUAUUAAAACACCUAUACAACAUGGCUAAAAAUGGCUAACAUCCAUGGCUUAUCAGUAUCCUUCCUCCUUCACUGAUGGCUCCUAUGCGCUGAUUGGCAGAGAAAAUUAUGGGUUCCAAGGCGUUCACCGUGAGCUAGCUACUCCGGAGACAGCACAGAUAUUCCCUGCAUCCGAAGAAAUGAAGAGAACCUCACAUAUUUACGGGUAUUGUCGAAGGUUGAGAACGGUAAGCGGUUCUUAGGAAGUUCAAAAUCGGAGGUAGAGGAACGUGUCGGUUUUAUUGGGUGGGCAAAACUGCUUUUAUAAUACAUUGACUUAGGAGCUUUUGUUCAAUUCGGACACAUGUAAUCGUAUCUAAAUGCCGUUCUCGGGUUGGUUUAAUUUAUAAAAUUUCUAUUAAAAAAUAAAAUUAUAUUCAGUCUCAUAGGUAUAAAACUAAUUAUGGUCUUAUUUUUUUAUAAAAUUACUAAACCCGAUUGAAUCAAGUUGGACCCUAUUGAACCAUGGCAUAAGAGUUUUUCCGGUUUGGUUGUCAUUCCGGUUUUAAAAUCAUUGGUUUUCAAAUAGUUUUGAGGUACCUGGCUAAGCUCGAACCUAAGUCUGGAUGAUAUCCGUUAACCAAAUUACCGCUACAAGAUCCAUUACAAUAGCUUAGAACACAUGACUCAGAUUCAGUUACAAACGCCGUGUAGGUACAAUUAGAACCAUUACCCAUCAACUAACAUAAUGAAUUCGUCUAUUUUUUUAGUGCGUCUACAGCUCUGAAAUUUGGGCUUACUUCUGCGCCCGUACCCAUGUCACCCCCCCCCCCAUUGUGUAUGAAGAUUGUCUUAGGUGGCUUAAGAACUCUUCCACAGAUCCAAACAUCGUACUCAUAAUAAAGCUCAUCUUUCAAGCUGUUGUUUAUAUGGUCUGGAAGGAAAGAAAUGCUCGACUACAUUCAAACGUGAGUAGACCUACGCGCGCCAUCAUUCAAGAAGUUAAACAGACUGUUCGGUUGCGACUUGAUCCUUUGUCUCGCAACAUGAGGAUCACUAGGAGCUCUUCUCUUACUUACUUAGGUUCUUGGCUAAGUUUGUUCUAAGGGUCUGUUAAAUCCCUUAGAUUUUUUUGAAGAAAGUUGGUUGUCUUAAUCUUUGUAACUUGUUGUUGGAAAAUAAAUAAAGAGGUUUAAAAAAAAAAAAAAACAUAAUGAAUUCUUUAAUCUGAUUUGGUUUAUGAGAGAACCAAGUACCAACUCAUCUCUUUCGUAGGUUUAUCACGAUUAACAUUAAAUAACAUAUAAUACUUAUUGGCUGCAUGUGUAUGAUUCUUCUAUUAUCAAUUACAUCACCUUACAAGUUUGUGAAAACUUAAUUUUGUGAAGCUUCUAGACAUCCCCUAUAUAUUAAUAGAAAAACAUUUAAAAAGUUAUAACAUUUUGUGAAGCUUCUAGACAUCUGGUUGAGUUGUCACAUAAUUGGAAUGCUAAUUUUGCUUACGUGGCGGAUUGAGAAUCAAUUGAAAAUUUUGUUACUCCAAAAUUAAAUUGCUAGAAAAUGUUAUAUUAUAUAGUAUGUCUAUUAUAGAUCAUUCAUUUAUCAAAUUAAAAUUAUUAUAUAUGAUUUUCUUAAAUAAAACCUAUGGAAUUACCUAAUAUGUUAAACAUAUAUAUGACAAUUAAUGAUUUUAAAUAAUAAAGAUUUGCUAUCAAUCUUUAUACUUUCUAUCGUUUUUGUUUAAUUAUUUAUUAUUAAAAUAAAUUACACAAUUACAUUAAUCAUUUAAUAAAAAAAAAAAAAUUAUUUUGUAUAUGUUGUAUUUUGAAUUUUUCAAAACGAGUAUAAAUUACUAAAACUGUUAAAAGUCUCACAUUGUCUUAUCCUAGUUGGUACUAUUAGCAAACCUUUUGAUAUGUUUCCUUCUUUGAAAUGGGUUUUAAAAUUUAACAUCUUGACGUUCAAAUCUUGUUGAAAAAUGAUUGAUGUAGUCUGUUACUGCUAACUUUGAAAAGCAAGCAGUGACGUUUAAUUUGUUACUACUUUGUUUCUUACAAGAUGAUUGAUUCGUCUCCUUUGAUCAAAAAAAAACCAUUCGUCUCCAAUAAAGGAAGGCUCAUUAUGAUGCGGUCAUCAAACCAGUAGUUGAACCGGAGGUCGACCCAACACCCUACUCAACCAGCCAAGGCGCCAACCAGAACACAUGUGUGCUAAAAAUGUCAUAUCUUACAAACCAGGAGGGUUUCACCAUGAAUCCAAUUUUCAUGGAUUCUACACUCGCGAAGGUUUCCAGAACAGUUGGAAUUUUAGUCAAAGCUAUCCGGACCAGAGAGAUAUGAAUUCUGCAAACCAGAGGUUGUUGGAACUAUUUUUUGAACAUUAUGAAUAAUGUAUUCAUAUAUCAAAAAUGAAGUUUUAUUUGAAUGGAAAAUGGAGGUCUAAUGUGUGUGAAGUUUUUAUAUUGAUCAUGGCCUCUUUAAGGUCUUCCCACAUUUUAAUAGCCUCUCUUUGACUCUUCCAUCGUGCACCAUCUACACCUUUCCACCAUUUGUAUGCACUUCCGGUAAGUUGUUUAAUAGCAUGGCUCAGCUUUUCUUUCUUUGGCAUGCCAAGGUAUGAAAACCAAUCAUCCAUGGUUCUUUCCCAUGAGAGAUAGUCAUCUGGCCAACUGCUUCCUGAAAAAUAAUAAAUCUUAACAUCAUUAGCAGAUUUAAAAUCAAGAUAAGAAUGAGUUAAGUAUUCAUGAGUGCAAGAAGUUUGGCGUGGGGUAAUCCAUGAAGGAUCCGGUGGCUUGGGCUAAACAUAGCCAGCCUCUGGUGCAUCUCCAAAUCAUCUUUCUCCAUGUGGUGAUGGUCGGCCUUGUGGCUUAUUUCUUUUUCACAACUGAGCAAUCUUAUCAUUGAGCUUUUGUAUAGCUGCUAAGUGUUGGCUCAGUCUGCUCUCUAGAUUUAGGCUGUGUGCUUCUCCUACCGUUGCUUCCUGAAAACAAUCUAAAAGACCAAGUGAAUUAUGAGAAGUUUUGGCCGAGCAUAAGAACAAUGAAACAAUGCAAAUUAUUUUAAACUAAACUGAUAAAUAUGCAAGUAGUGAACCCGAAUUGAAAUAAUCUAAGGUGCAAUAUUUUCGUUUUCUGGUUGCAAUCUCAAAAUGAAACAAUAUGGAAUGCUAAUAAACACAAUGAAAGAAAAUAUGGAAAUAAAACCAACACUGAUAUUAUUUUUUUUUGAAAUUUUCGUAGGAUGAAAGGUGAGAACAAGAAACGGAAACAAAAAUGUAUGCUUGGACCAAAAUGAUUUAAACUAAUGGUAUUUUUAUUUUCUUUUCUGAAUGCAAGUUCAAAACAAUGAAGC